This 780-nucleotide ribosomal RNA is filed under the name uncultured Neocallimastigales. RNAcentral's name for it is "partial large subunit ribosomal RNA". The stretch from base 2 to 699 matches the Rfam family "Eukaryotic large subunit ribosomal RNA", at positions 24 to 664 of the family's 3401-position model. Lineage: Eukaryota; Fungi; Neocallimastigomycota; Neocallimastigomycetes; Neocallimastigales. The record is from RNAcentral.
ACACGCAUGACACACUGCAUAUCAAUAAGCGGAGGAAAAGAAACUAACAAGGAUUCCCUUAGUAACGGCGAGUGAAGCGGGAAGAGCUCAAAUUUGAAAUCUUCAAGGGUUUACCUUUACGAAUUGUAGUUUAAAGAAGUGUUUUCUGUUGGAGUUUCGGUAAAAGUUCUUUGGAAUAGGACAUCAUAGAGGGUGAGAAUCCCGUAUUUGACCAGUUACUUUCCAGCUGUGUGAUACACUUUCAAAGAGUCGGAUUGUUUGGGAAUGCAGUCCAAGAUGGGUGGUAAAUUUCAUCUAAAGCUAAAUAUUGGCGAGAGACCGAUAGCGAACAAGUACCGUGAGGGAAAGAUGAAAAGAACUUUGAAAAGAGAGUUAAACAGUACGUGAAAUUGUCAAAAGGGAAGCGUUUGACACCAGUGUUGUUUAGCUCGAAAAUCAAUUAAAAUGAUGGAUUUUGUAAGUUAGUAUUGACUUCAUCAGCUUGCUGCCUUUUUCUUAGCAAUUAUUGAAUGCACUUUUCAGUUAACAAGUCAACAUCAAUUUCUUUUGUUGUAAAAGAGUCAGUAGGAAGGUGGCUUUGGCUUCGGAUAAAGUGUUUAUAGCCUUUAUCUUCUGCAAUCGGAGAGAUUGAGGUCUGCAGCGUAGAUCCUUCGGGGUUAGAUACAUUGGUGCUAAGCUAUAGUUCUUGUAUAGACAACUUGUUGACUAUGAUCAGUCCUGUAGCUUACUCGCUGAUGCUAUUUUACCUACGCUUAGGAUGUUGAUCUACAGAGCGAGAGU